This 573-nucleotide ribosomal RNA is filed under the name Triticum aestivum (bread wheat). RNAcentral describes it as "partial small subunit ribosomal RNA". The record is from RNAcentral. Lineage: Eukaryota; Viridiplantae; Streptophyta; Magnoliopsida; Poales; Poaceae.
AUGGAAAGCUUGCUGCAUUGGGAUUUUGCCCCGGGCCUUGCCCUGGCAGACCAGUUGAGAAGGAAAUUUGGAUCCACGGUGCAUUUCUCUCCCUCCCGAGACGCCAAAGAGUUCUUUUUGGUCAUUUCCUUUUCCUCUGCCUCCUUUCAUCUGGAUGCUGAAACUGUGGGGAUUGCCUUGUAAUGCUGUCUUGGAGGGAUUUCCUCUGGCUUCAAGGUGUCUAAGAUUAAUGCUCGGUCCUUUCGCUUCUCUGUGGCUAAUAACAAAGUGGGACAUUUUGUCUAUGGUCUCAAGGACCGAGUUUGGCCUGAUUUUGUCUGCCAUUUUCACUUGUUCAAUGGACAUUUUUCUAAAGCUCAUUCUCUCGAUCGUCAUUGGCAUGUUGAUACUGAGUUGGUUGAUAUCGUGGAUCUGAAACCCAUUGCUCUCAGAUCCUCCUUGAAGUUUCUUAAUCCCAAUAGAGAGUUGGAUCAUUCUUCUGCGAAAGUUAUUAGCAAAUUUGGGCUUAUUAAGUUGGAUAAAUGGUAUUUCUCAAACAAAAAUGCCCAUGAAGCUUCUUCAUCUAUAGCUUAG